Cyprinus carpio carpio is the source of this 563-nucleotide long non-coding RNA. The record is from Ensembl. NCBI's taxonomy places the organism in Eukaryota, Metazoa, Chordata, Actinopteri, Cypriniformes, Cyprinidae.
GAAUCAACAUCUGAUUUACUUACUAAACUGCAAGUUAUCUUCUCGAAAUUAACUUUUGUUUACUGAAGGUUUGUAAAACAAAUAGGCCUAUCGUUACGGACUCACGGGGUAGUUAAAGAUUUUCUCAACCUGAAGCGGAAAUAUCGCAGACACAACUGUCCAAAGAAGCGCUGUCUACCUCUUCACUCCAGAGUGCCAUUCCCUUGAGGUUUCACGACUACACAACUAUCCUUAUGAUGCCUUAUCAAGCAUUAAGAAAACCAAAGACCAGCUUUGGGAAAUAAGAGAAGAGUUUCGUAUCCGACUCAGUGAGGACUGUUCUGUAACCAAGCCAUGCUAGUCACUUCUGUAAAGGGAGUGUAUUGUUUUAUGAAUGUUAGUGAUCAAGCCAUGGGGACAUUCACUGCAACCAAAGAUGCUGAAAACUCAUCGCUCAAUCAGUUUGAGUUUGCCAGAAUCAUUGUAAAUAGUAAGAACUGAAUGAAAUGUGUUUAUAUGUAAUUUAUGCACUUUAAAUGCUUUAUUAUUAUCUUGAUUAAAUAAAAAGUGUAUUGUCUUUUCAC